CCUACGGGAGGCAGCAGUGGGGAAUAUUGGACAAUGGAGGGAACUCUUACCCAGCAAUGCCGCGUGAAUGAAGAAGUUCUUCGGAUUGUAAAGUUCUUUAAGUGGGGAAGAAAUAAAGGACUGUACCCAAGGAAUAAGCCCCGGCUAACUACGUGCCAGUAGCCGCGGUACUACGUAGGGGGCAAGCGUUGUUCGGAAUGACUGGGCGUGAAGGGUGUGUAGGAGGGGUAGCAAGUUCGAAGUUAAAUACCUAGAGCUUAACUCAGGUGCUGCUUCUAAAACUGCUAAACUUGAGUGCAGUAGAGGAAAGUGGAAUUCCUAGUGUAGCGGUGGAAUGCGUAGAUAUUAGGAGGAACAUCAGUGGCGAAGGCGACUUUCUGGACUGUAACUGACGCUGAGGCACGAAAGUGUGGGGAGCAAACAGGAUUAGAUACCCUUGUAGUC
This 444-nucleotide ribosomal RNA is filed under the name uncultured bacterium. RNAcentral's name for it is "partial 16S ribosomal RNA". It matches the Rfam family "Bacterial small subunit ribosomal RNA", at positions 338 to 795 of the family's 1533-position model. The record is from RNAcentral.